This 253-nucleotide ribosomal RNA is filed under the name uncultured bacterium. RNAcentral describes it as "partial 16S ribosomal RNA". It matches the Rfam family "Bacterial small subunit ribosomal RNA", at positions 524 to 776 of the family's 1533-position model. The record is from RNAcentral.
UACGUAGGGUGCAAGCGUUGUCCGGAAUUAUUGGGCGUAAAGAGCUCGUAGGCGGCCUGUCGCGUCGGCUGUGAAAACCCGGGGCUCAACCCCGGGCCUGCAGUCGAUACGGGCAGGCUAGAGUCCGGCAGGGGAGACUGGAAUUCCCGGUGUAGCGGUGAAAUGCGCAGAUAUCAGGAGGAACACCGGUGGCGAAGGCGGGUCUCUGGGCCGGAACUGACGCUGAGGAGCGAAAGCGUGGGGAGCGAACAGG